AUUCGAUACUAGCUACGGAAGGUGUAAAAUGCUUCCAGGCAGGAGCCAGAAAAAAGAGCCCAGCCAUACAAUACUACAAGUAACCACAUAGCUGUUAUUGAUGAUGCCAAGUUUUAAGGAAAACAGAAGACAGGCUGAAGAAAGUCAACGAAGAGGCCGUGUGUGUGUGGGGAGAAGGUGAACAUUUGAAAAG
Molecule: long non-coding RNA, 193 nt
Organism: Leopardus geoffroyi (Geoffroy's cat)
Lineage: Eukaryota; Metazoa; Chordata; Mammalia; Carnivora; Felidae
Exons: 3
Source: RefSeq, a predicted model, not a curated record